This is a long non-coding RNA of Saccostrea echinata, 284 nucleotides long. RefSeq lists it as uncharacterized. Lineage: Eukaryota; Metazoa; Mollusca; Bivalvia; Ostreida; Ostreidae. The record is from RefSeq and is a predicted model, not a curated record. The transcript has 3 exons.
UUUACAACAAAUCUAUGAUGGAUUUCCGCAUUAUUCUUUCAUAUUUGAUUGCGUUGCUUCUUGUUUUUCUCAUCUUCACAUCAGUAACCGAGAGCGCAUGCGUUCAGACAACACAAGCACCAACAACGCAAGCUCCAACAACAACAACAUUUAAACCAAUACCAUAAAGGAACCCCUGAAGACAAUGGGAACUGGUAUAAUUUUGGAAUCCAAAUGUUUGUCAAAGCUGUCUGGCAGGAAAAAAUAUUAUUAUUUAUGAAAACUAAACAAUAAACAUUUUUAUA